This 253-nucleotide ribosomal RNA is filed under the name uncultured bacterium. RNAcentral describes it as "partial 16S ribosomal RNA". It matches the Rfam family "Bacterial small subunit ribosomal RNA", at positions 524 to 776 of the family's 1533-position model. The record is from RNAcentral.
UACGGGGGGGGCAAGCGUUGUUCGGAAUUACUGGGCGUAAAGGGCUCGUAGGCGGCCAACUAAGUCGGAUGUGAAAUCCCCAAGCUUAACUUGGGAACUGCAUCCGAUACUGGAUGGCUUGAAUCCGGGAGAGGGAUGCAGAAUUCCGGGUGUAGCGGUGAAAUGCGUAGAUAUCUGGAGGAAUACCGGUGGCGAAGGCGGCAUCCUGGACCGGCAUUGACGCUGAGGAGCGAAAGCUAGGGGAGCAAACGGG